UUUGUUUCCAUUUUAGUGGAAAGUAGACAACUUUGAUUUAUCGACUAAGAUCGUACUCCAAUCCCCAAAGUAAUGCAAUCCUAGAAAAUUUCAGACAGAUUGGCUUAAAGCAAAAUAACUUAGGUGCCCAUAAUUAGCUGUGCAUGCAAAACUUUUAAUAAAACCACCUCAAUUAAGUGGCCGGAAUGUAGAAUAUUAGCUGGUCCAUAGGGUUUCAUUCUUUGUGAGAUAAUUUUUGAAUCCUAGUACUGUCUUCUUUUUGAGAGGUGUUAGAGCUCUCCUAAAAAGACCCUGAAUGUGUACACUAAAUCAUUGAAUUAAAUUGAUCGCAUAUUUUGGAUACAUCUUUGCGGCCAGCCGGCAGAUCCUCUGCGGCGUCCCUAUCGACACCCCGACACCAUCCCAGCGGCCCCCCCACACCCCUCGCCAAGACACCACACCGGCCCCCGCUGCAUCCCCCGUUCCCUCCAAGAUCUGUCACAUCGUCAUCCUCAGCGCCAUCUCCUUCCCCACCACCACAUCAUCGCCCAGUGCUCCGGCCUGCCGCCGCCUCCCUCCGCGUCGUCCCUCCGCGCCUCGACCCUCUCAUUAAAGAGGAUGCAAAUUCAGAGGUGCCGCCGAGAAUCCUACUUCAAUGUUGGCUUCAUGGACCCAAUGAUUGUUAACCAAAAGCAGAUACAAUAUCAACCAAAGUCUACAUUUGGUGCAAUAUACAGAUUCUUGGAGCAACGGAAUUACAAGCAACAAUACUACAGCCUUACAACUUUAAUUACCACUGGAUUCUUCUUAUAAUUAUGAUUGAUCAAAGCUACGUUAUUAUCUUUGAUUCGCCAAGGAAACCAAAGGAUGAGUACCAAGACAUUCAAGACAUGCUUACCUUUUCUUGAGACAGGAACAAGAGAAUAAUUUAUGUGGACACUACGUCUGUGAGCACAUACACCAUUUCAUGAGGGACAAGAUGUGGCAGAUUCGCGAAGAACUCUUGGAGAAGGAAAGACUUUUGACAAUCCAAGAAGCACUCAUAGGAUUUCUGGUGGACGAGGUAAUAAAUUCCAAAAUAGAAUUUUAUUAUAAUGGACAUUCAGUAGCCGAACCGAGCAACACCAUGACGGGAGCAUCCUAAGAAUU
This is a long non-coding RNA of Setaria italica (foxtail millet), 1128 nucleotides long. RefSeq lists it as uncharacterized. NCBI's taxonomy places the organism in Eukaryota, Viridiplantae, Streptophyta, Magnoliopsida, Poales, Poaceae. The transcript has 5 exons. The record is from RefSeq and is a predicted model, not a curated record.